GUAAGGAAUAUUGGUCAAUGGGGGCAACCCUGAACCAGCCAUGCCGCGUGAAGGAUGAAGGCGUUAUGCGUUGUAAACUUCUUUUGUAUGGGAAGAAUGACAGGGAUUUAUCCUUGGAGAGACGGUACCAUACGAAUAAGCACCGGCUAACUCCGUGCCAGCAGCCGCGGUAAUACGGAGGGUGCAAGCGUUAUCCGGAAUCACUGGGUUUAAAGGGUACGUAGGCGGAGCGUUAAGUCAGUGGUGAAAUCCUGCAGCUUAACUGUAGACUUGCCAUUGACACUGGCGCUCUUGAGUGCGCUUGAAGUGGGCGGAAUGUGCCGUGUAGCGGUGAAAUGCUUAGAUAUGGCACAGAACACCAAUUGCGAAGGCAGCUGACUGAGCCUUGAUUGACGCUGAGGUACGAAAGUGUGGGUAGCGAACAGGAUUAGAAACCCUAGUAGUCC
RNAcentral lists this ribosomal RNA (446 nucleotides) under uncultured bacterium. RNAcentral describes it as "partial 16S ribosomal RNA". It matches the Rfam family "Bacterial small subunit ribosomal RNA", at positions 354 to 796 of the family's 1533-position model. The record is from RNAcentral.